Scleropages formosus (Asian bonytongue) is the source of this 2764-nucleotide long non-coding RNA. Lineage: Eukaryota; Metazoa; Chordata; Actinopteri; Osteoglossiformes; Osteoglossidae. The record is from Ensembl.
UGGUGAAAAACUUUUACACCAAAUCGUGAAACAUAAGAAGCAAGACGCACCGCUGAGCUGUUCGAAUUGUGUAAUUUGUGUGGUGGUAAAUAAAAGAGAAAAAAAUAAUGUAAUUCGAGUUGUUUGCAAAGUUUAUUAUUCGUGGUUCUUACUUUCGCCCUCGAAUGAGGAAAAGACACUUUUCAAAGUGUCGCCACGUGGCGCCAUCGCGAUACUUACAGUAGGGGGCCACGUGCACGUGCACGAGUACGAGUACGGGCGGUGGCGCGCAUCCAUCGCAGGUGAACGCGGGUUUUUCGACACACGUCGCCGGCACGGGAAUGGGUGGUACACGUGCUCACCUGCUCCUCAUCCUCAUCCUCUGCGCCCUGGCGGACUGUUCCUCGAUAGAGGAAAUCACCAGAACGUUCCAGUGUCUGGAAGAACAAGACACUUUUCAUAUGGAGCAUGGAAUCGAAAACCCGAAACAGAAGAAAUGCCAGCAGACCUGGGCACAGGGACGCAAAGGAACGCUGCGAAGAGAGCUCAGAGCUCCGGGGCCCCCCCCGCAGCCCAGACGGUCGGCUGGGGGUCCCUGUGCGCCUCUGCGUUCAUCACGGCGCUCAUUGGUGCUUCAGCUCGGUGGUAGCGGUACUGGUACUGGCGCCGGGGCCAAGCGGGUUAGGUCUCCUCCCGCCUGCGUGAUCGUGGGAGGGACCCCUUGCUUCAGGAGUGUGUUCCGGCCUGGUGGGGGAGGGGGCACCUGCUCCAGGUGCGCGGUGUUAGGAGCAGAUUUGACUGUCUUCCUCAUCGAGCAGGGAAAAGGAACUACAUCACCGCUUUUGUCCCUCUUUCUGCUGAAGUUCUUUUCCAUCUGUGACUGUGGGGCACUGCUGGGGGGUGGGGGGGGGCACUUUGUCACUUAAUUUACAUCUCAAUAAUCCUGUGGCCACAGACCAAUCCUGAGAUUUAUUUGCUGGGAACAAACCCUCUUGAUCACUGCCUUCUGCUUCAAGGUCCCAGGUUCGAAUCCCAUUCCUACUGUAGUCCCCUUAGUGAAGGUACUUACUUUGAAUUGAUGCAGUAAAGGGUAAAUCAGUGUAAACAGCUUACUGUAGAAACCCUGCACUGUAAGUUGCUGUAGAGGAAAGGUGCUAAUUGGCAAAUAUUUCCUUUCAAAGCUUUACAUUCAUGAAAUAACCCAAAAGUUUCCCCGUUGGUUAUUUGUGAUAUUUCUCACUUUAUGCCCCUCCCUCUGAGCCACCGAAAAUGUACUUUUCUUUCCCACAGUCGUGGGUAAAAUACUUUAAUGGUAGCAGUGUGGAAGUUGCUGUGAAGUACUCAGGGUUUACCAUGUUGAGGUGAACCUUCACUCAGGUGCUGCUGCUGCUGCUGAAGAAACAGGCUGUACUCUACUCCGUUUACUCACCACAUGUGUAAAUUGCGGUCAGUACUGUAAUUCGGAGUUUUACUCUGCCUGACCGUGUUUUCCGUUGGGCUCUUUUUUGUGCUUUUACCCAGUUUACAACCUGUUUCCUUUAUGAAAGCAGCAUUUACCUUAAAAUUACCCUGCACAGUGAUGGGAUUUCAGGAAUGUGAAUGUGAGAUGUGAGGUAUCGAACACACAGACACUCACACACACAGUCUGUUGGGAUAUAAAGAAUAUGAAUGAAAAGAUUUGUUAACAAUCACUAAUGAGGGACUAAUGACCAGUGACAGUGUAUCAAAGAAUGACCUUUUAUUGCGUGUUAUUUAUUGGAGAAUUAUCAAUUUAACCUAAAAUGUAUUUGAAUGUAGUCAUGUGGCUUUAACCCAUGUUGCCAUCACACGGUAUCUGGUGUCUCCCGUCCUGCUGCUCGAGCGGCUCGGUGCCCUGUUCUCCACAUCUGUGCAGGUCCGUCCACACCUGUCCAACGUGUGAAAAGUACCAGUUUCCCAAAGACACCACUGUUUGUGCGUAUCUGCACUUGUGCAUUUCCAACACCAGCGUGCCGGUGGGGUGCAGCGCAGUGGUAAAAGGGAGUAAAGGCACUGGCAAAGCGGUACAGUGAAGGACAGCUGCAGCGAGGACCGGAGCAUCGCUCUCAAGAGCUCAGUUACAGUGAAAGUUCCGGUACAUCAUCACCUCGCACGGUGGCAGCUCCCCGGGUCACGUCUCAGCCGCCAGUUUCCAAAGUGCUCUUUGACUCGGGCUGUGGUGUCGGCUAUUAAUGGCAGCAGUAAUAAUAUCUUAUACCUGUGAAACUGUGUGUGUGUGUGUGUGAAUGCGCCCGCACGCAUGCCAAAACUACACACAGAGUGAUAUGCUUUGUUGGCAGAUGAGCCCUUUUCUUUCACUUCCCCUUUGUCGCACUGGAAACUUUCCUCUCUGCCCACCCAGUGAUGUCAGAGACGCUGCUCACGCUGUCAGUUCUCGUUCGCUGGCGCUGCUCCCGAAGAGAAAGGGCAUCAUCUUUCAAAAGUGCAUGCGCGCGCACACACACACACACGCAGACAAAUGUGCUGAUCUCCAGCACACAGCCACAAAAGGACAACAUUUCAGAAGGUUCAUCAUGAUCGAAAAACGUAUUUAUGGAGCAUGAUGUUCACUUACUGUUUGUUUCCGAAAUUUUCCAGUGUUAACAUUAAAACUUAAAAUGUACGCUUGCACUUUCUGUAACGCACCUUUAUCCUAGCUUUUCUCUCUGUAUGUUUGCACUUUUUUUGUCUGUUAAUACUACUGUAUAUUUUUAUUCUGGUAAAUUUUUAGAAUAAUGAAAAUAAAAUAAAUGUAAAUAUGUGUUCA